This 893-nucleotide non-coding RNA is filed under the name Lampanyctus acanthurus. RNAcentral's name for it is "partial 12S rRNA". It matches the Rfam family "Bacterial small subunit ribosomal RNA", at positions 237 to 1527 of the family's 1533-position model. Lineage: Eukaryota; Metazoa; Chordata; Actinopteri; Myctophiformes; Myctophidae. The record is from RNAcentral.
AUCCCCGUGAGAAUGCCCCUAAAAUCCUGCCCGGAAACGAGGAGCAGACAUCAGGCACGCCCCCGCAGCCCAAGACGUCUUGCUUAGCCACACCCCUAAGGGAAUUCAGCAGUAAUAAACUUUAGACCAUGAGUGAAAACUUGAUCUAGUUAUGGUUGUAAGAGGGCCGGUAAAACUCGUGCCAGCCACCGCGGUCAUACGAGUGUUAGCCCAAGUGGAUGGUCAACGGCGUAAAGAGUGGUUAGGGACCCCCUAAAACUAAAGCUGAACGCCCGCAGGGCCGUUAUACGCACCCGAGAGCAUGAAACCCCACCACGAAGGUGGCUUUAACCUGACCCGAACCCACGAAAGCUAGGGCACAAACUGGGAUUAGAUACCCCACUAUGCCUAGCCGUAAACCUUAAUAGAAAAUACACACCUUCUAUUCGCCAGGGUACUACGAGCAUCAGCUUAAAACCCAAAGGACUUGGCGGUGCUUUAGACCCACCUAGAGGAGCCUGUCCUAGAACCGAUAUCCCCCGUUCAACCUCACCACUUCUAGCCCAACCCGCCUAUAUACCACCGUCGUCAGCUUACCCCGUGAGGGACUAAUAGUAAGCUAAACCGGCACAGCCCAAAACGUCAGGUCGAGGUGUAGCGCACGAAGUGCGGAAGAGAUGGGCUACAUUUUCUGACCCAGAAAACUACGGAAGGAAAAAAUGAAAAGAUUCCUAAAGGAGGAUUUAGCAGUAAGUGGGGAAUAGAGCGCCCCUCUGAAACAGGCCCUUAAGCGCGCACACACCGCCCGUCACUCUCCCCGAGUCCUUACCUCCUAUUAACUUAUACCGUCAAAUGGAUAAAGGGGAGGCAAGUCGUAACAUGGUAAGUGUACCGGAAGGUGCACUUGGACAACA